This is a long non-coding RNA of Parasteatoda tepidariorum (common house spider), 424 nucleotides long. Lineage: Eukaryota; Metazoa; Arthropoda; Arachnida; Araneae; Theridiidae. The record is from RefSeq and is a predicted model, not a curated record.
ACAAAAUAAAUAAAUAAAUAAAUAAAACACUUAAAAUGCAGCUGGAGAUGCGCGCGCGUGUGUGAUCUACUUCUUAAAAGGGAUUAUUGCAAAAAUAUAUAUAGUGCCCUAUAUAUAUAAUCAGAACAAUAAUUCCAAGUAAUUGUUUUAGGCAACAUAUUUAUAUUUUUCAGGUCAAAGGUGCUCAACCUUUAAAAGAAACGCCUAUCCUUUUUAUUGUCCGUGCCAGGAAGGUCUUGAUUGCCAUGCUAUUAAUCUGAGUGGGGAGAGCAUAAAUCUUGGACAUUGUAGAAAGCCUGAAAGCAAGUAAUGAUAUCUUUGUUAGAACUGUAAAAUGUUGCUCACGAGGUUAUGGGAAAUACAACAUGUUUAAUUUGAUACAUAAUAAAUUAUUAAAUAAUGUAUUAAAAAUGUGUUUUCUUGA